Molecule: long non-coding RNA, 573 nt
Filed under: Homo sapiens (human)
Lineage: Eukaryota; Metazoa; Chordata; Mammalia; Primates; Hominidae
Description: HSALNT0292393
Source: RNAcentral
GCUCAGAGUGUAGACACUGACUGAUGGGACCAGGUACAAAAUCCCCUGGGACAAAACAGAACUUUCAUAACUGGCUGUAGAGUUAUUGUUUUUGCCUUUUGGAAGCUUCCACCUUGUGACGGGAAGAGCACUGUCAGCCCAACACAGAAACUCUGCCGCCUGGAGUCACGUGGAUCCAGAUGCGAAGGGACUCCAACGUCAUGCUAAGGAGUUUGGGCUAAGAAUUUGUACAGCCAUAUUACAGAUUUGGAAAAUGAUGUGAAGAGAAGCUAAGGGAUUUGCCACUGCCACUCAGCUGCCAAGGAUCAGAGACAUUACUUCUACUUCUCAACGUCCAUCCUCCAACCAUUGUCCAGUGAUUCAGGCAGAAUUCCCUCCUGCUCAGGAGGUAGCCAUCCUGUGACCCUGGAAGAAACCAGCCCAAGGAAGGUGCUAACCUACAGAAGAAGGACAUGGCCAGGGUAAUCACAUAGACCCGGAGUUGAAGCCCUGACUGCACCACACCCGAAGCCUCCCCACCUUUCAACCUCUCGGUGAUGGUGAACCAAUAAACUCUUUUUAUUGUUCAAGCCA